This 511-nucleotide ribosomal RNA is filed under the name Candida albicans. RNAcentral's name for it is "eukaryotic LSU rRNA". The stretch from base 144 to 297 matches the Rfam family "5.8S ribosomal RNA". The record is from RNAcentral. Lineage: Eukaryota; Fungi; Ascomycota; Pichiomycetes; Serinales; Debaryomycetaceae.
GUUGCUCUGACUGCUUAUUGCACCACAUGUGUUUUUCUUUGAAACAAACUUGCUUUGGCGGUGGGCCCAGCCUGCCGCCAGAGGUCUAAACUUACAACCAAUUUUUUAUCAACUUGUCACACCAGAUUAUUACUAAUAGUCAAAACUUUCAACAACGGAUCUCUUGGUUCUCGCAUCGAUGAAGAACGCAGCGAAAUGCGAUACGUAAUAUGAAUUGCAGAUAUUCGUGAAUCAUCGAAUCUUUGAACGCACAUUGCGCCCUCUGGUAUUCCGGAGGGCAUGCCUGUUUGAGCGUCGUUUUCCCUCAAACCGCUGGGUUUGGUGUUGAGCAAUACGACUUGGGUUUGCUUGAAAGACGGUAGUGGUAAGGCGGGAUCGCUUUGACAAUGGCUUAGGUCUAACCAAAAACAUUGCUUGCGGCGGUAACGUCCACCACGUAUAUCUUCAAACUUUGACCUCAAAUCAGGUAGGACUACCCGCUGAACUUAAGCAUAUCAAAAGCGGGGAGGAA